This 114-nucleotide non-coding RNA is filed under the name Anaerolinea thermophila. Its description in RNAcentral is "SAM-I sequence". It matches the Rfam family "SAM riboswitch aptamer (S box leader)". From Rfam's summary of the family: The SAM riboswitch is found upstream of a number of genes which code for proteins involved in methionine or cysteine biosynthesis in Gram-positive bacteria. The SAM riboswitch acts at the level of transcription termination control. RNAcentral also lists the same sequence under 1 other name. Lineage: Bacteria; Bacillati; Chloroflexota; Anaerolineae; Anaerolineales; Anaerolineaceae. The record is from RNAcentral.
CACUCAUCGAGAGAGGUGGAGGGACCGGCCCUGUGAAGCCUCGGCAACCGGCAAGGCAGUCGGUGCCAAUUCCGGCAGAUGUACCGCGAAAAGCGGUCUUCUGGAAGAUGAGGC